This 553-nucleotide ribosomal RNA is filed under the name uncultured bacterium. RNAcentral describes it as "bacterial SSU rRNA". It matches the Rfam family "Bacterial small subunit ribosomal RNA", at positions 415 to 977 of the family's 1533-position model. The record is from RNAcentral.
CGGCCGCGUCGACCAAGAACGGGUGUGAGAGUGGAAAGUUCACACUGUGACGGUAGCUUACCAGAAAGGGACGGCUAACUACGUGCCAGCAGCCGCGGUAAUACGUAGGUCCCGAGCGUUGUCCGGAUUUAUUGGGCGUAAAGCGAGCGCAGGCGGUUUGGUAAGUCUGAAGUUAAAGGCUGUGGCUCAACCAUAGUUCGCUUUGGAAACUGUCAAACUUGAGUGCAGAAGGGGAGAGUGGAAUUCCAUGUGUAGCGGUGAAAUGCGUAGAUAUAUGGAGGAACACCGGUGGCGAAAGCGGCUCUCUGGUCUGUAACCUGACGCUGAGGCUCGAAAGCGUGGGGAGCGAACAGGAUUAGAUACCCUGGUAGUCCACGCCGUAAACGAUGAGUGCUAGGUGUUGGAUCCUUUCCGGGAUUCAGUGCCGCAGCUAACGCAUUAAGCACUCCGCCUGGGGAGUACGACCGCAAGGUUGAAACUCAAAGGAAUUGACGGGGCCCGCACAAGCGGUGGAGUAUGUGGUUUAAUCGAUGCAACGCGAAGACCUUACCCG